UACGUAGGGGGCAAGCGUUGUCCGGAUUUAUUGGGCGUAAAGAGCGUGUAGGCGGCUUUACAGGUCCGUUGUGAAAACUCGAGGCUCAACCUCGAGACGCCGGUGGAAACCGUAAGGCUAGAGUCCGGAAGAGGAGAGUGGAAUUCCUGGUGUAGCGGUGAAAUGCGCAGAUAUCAGGAAGAACACCCGUGGCGAAGGCGGCUCUCUGGGCCGAUACUGACGCUGAGGAGCGAAAGCGUGGGGAGCGAACAGG
Molecule: ribosomal RNA, 253 nt
Filed under: uncultured bacterium
Lineage: Bacteria
Description: partial 16S ribosomal RNA
Rfam family: Bacterial small subunit ribosomal RNA
Source: RNAcentral